This 253-nucleotide ribosomal RNA is filed under the name uncultured bacterium. Its description in RNAcentral is "partial 16S ribosomal RNA". It matches the Rfam family "Bacterial small subunit ribosomal RNA", at positions 524 to 776 of the family's 1533-position model. The record is from RNAcentral.
UACGAAGGGGGCUAGCGUUGUUCGGAAUUACUGGGCGUAAAGCGCACGUAGGCUGAUAGUUAAGUGAGGGGUGAAAUCCCGAGGCUCAACCUCGGAACUGCCUUUCAUACUGGCUGUCUCGAGUCCGGAAGAGGUUAGUGGAAUUCCUAGUGUAGAGGUGAAAUUCGUAGAUAUUAGGAAGAACACCAGUGGCGAAGGCGGCUAACUGGUCCGGUACUGACGCUGAGGUGCGAAAGCGUGGGGAGCAAACAGG